Molecule: transfer RNA, 77 nt
Filed under: Bacteroides sp.
Lineage: Bacteria; Pseudomonadati; Bacteroidota; Bacteroidia; Bacteroidales; Bacteroidaceae
Description: tRNA-Met
Rfam family: tRNA
About the family: Transfer RNA (tRNA) molecules are approximately 80 nucleotides in length. Their secondary structure includes four short double-helical elements and three loops (D, anti-codon, and T loops). Further hydrogen bonds mediate the characteristic L-shaped molecular structure. tRNAs have two regions of fundamental functional importance: the anti-codon, which is responsible for specific mRNA codon recognition, and the 3' end, to which the tRNAs corresponding amino acid is attached (by aminoacyl-tRNA synthetases). tRNAs cope with the degeneracy of the genetic code in two manners: having more than one tRNA (with a specific anti-codon) for a particular amino acid; and 'wobble' base-pairing, i.e. permitting non-standard base-pairing at the 3rd anti-codon position.
Source: RNAcentral
GGCGAGGUAGCUCAGUUGGUUAGAGCGCAUGAUUCAUAAUCAUGAGGUCGGCGGUUCAAUCCCGCCUCUCGCUACAA